RNAcentral lists this ribosomal RNA (436 nucleotides) under uncultured Oscillospiraceae bacterium. RNAcentral describes it as "partial 16S ribosomal RNA". It matches the Rfam family "Bacterial small subunit ribosomal RNA", at positions 341 to 792 of the family's 1533-position model. The record is from RNAcentral. Lineage: Bacteria; Bacillati; Bacillota; Clostridia; Eubacteriales; Oscillospiraceae.
ACGGGAGGCAGCAGUGGGGAAUAUUGGGCAAUGGGCGAAAGCCUGACCCAGCAACGCCGCGUGAAGGAAGAAGGUUUUCGGAUUGUAAACUUCUUUUAUCAGGGACGAAGAACGUGACGGUACCUGAUGAAUAAGCCACGGCUAACUACGUGCCAGCAGCCGCGGUAAUGCGUAGGUGGCAAGCGUUAUCCGGAUUUACUGGGUGUAAAGGGCGCGUAGGCGGGGAUGCAAGUCAGAUGUGAAAUCCAUGGGCUUAACCCAUGAACUGCAUUUGAAACUGUAUUUCUUGAGUGUCGGAGAGGUAGACGGAAUUCCUAGUGUAGCGGUGAAAUGCGUAGAUAUUAGGAGGAACACCAGUGGCGAAGGCGGUCUACUGGACGAUAACUGACGCUGAGGCGCGAAAGCGUGGGGAGCAAACAGGAUUAGAACCCUGGUA